AGUGAACGCUGGCGGUAGGCCUAACACAUGCAAGUCGAACGGCAGCACAGUAAGAGCUUGCUCUUACGGGUGGCGAGUGGCGGACGGGUGAGGAAUACAUCGGAAUCUACUUUUUCGUGGGGGAUAACGUAGGGAAACUUACGCUAAUACCGCAUACGACCUACGGGUGAAAGCAGGAGAGCUUCGGACCUUGCGCGAUUGAAUGAGCCGAUGUCGGAUUAGCUAGUUGGGGGGGUAAAGGCCCACCAAGGCGACGAUCCGUAGCUGGUCUGAGAGGAUGAUCAGCCAAACUGGAACUGGGACACGGUCCAGACUCCUACGGGAGGGAGCAGUGAGGAAUAUUGGACAAUGGGCGCAAGCCUGAUCCAGCCAUACCGCGUGGGUGAAGAAGGCCUUCGGGUUCUAAAGCCCUUUUGUUGGGAAAGAAAAGAAGCAGGUUAAUACCCCGCUGUUCUGACGGUACCCAAAGAAUAAGCACCGGCUAACUUCGUG
RNAcentral lists this ribosomal RNA (492 nucleotides) under uncultured bacterium. RNAcentral's name for it is "partial 16S ribosomal RNA". It matches the Rfam family "Bacterial small subunit ribosomal RNA", at positions 29 to 507 of the family's 1533-position model. The record is from RNAcentral.